This 493-nucleotide ribosomal RNA is filed under the name Distorsionella lewisi. RNAcentral describes it as "partial 16S ribosomal RNA". It matches the Rfam family "Bacterial large subunit ribosomal RNA", at positions 1845 to 2598 of the family's 2925-position model. Lineage: Eukaryota; Metazoa; Mollusca; Gastropoda; Littorinimorpha; Thalassocyonidae. The record is from RNAcentral.
AUAAGGAGUCGGACCUGCCCAGUGAUAUUUUCAACGGCCGCGGUACUCUGACCGUGCAAAGGUAGCAUAAUCAUUUGCUCUAUAAUUGAGGGCUAGUAUGAAUGGUUUGACAAGAAUAAAGCUGUCUCCUUACAAUUUUAUAGAAUUUUAUUUUUAGGUGAAGAAGCCUAAGUUAAAUUAAAAGACAAGAAGACCCUAUCGAGCUUGAAAAAAAUUAAUAGGCUUAUAAGAAUGUCUUGCUAAAACUAUAACUGUUAAAAAUUUUGGUUGGGGCGACUGGGGAACAAACAAAGCUUCUUUUAAAAUAAUUAAGCAUACAAGCAUUUGAUCCAGAAUUAUUCUGAUUAAAGAAAUUAGUUACCGUAGGGAUAACAGCAUUAUCUUUUUUGAGAGUUCUUAUCGAAAAAAAGGUUUGUGACCUCGAUGUUGGACCAGAAUAUCCUAAAGAUGCAGCAGUCUUUAAGGGUUGGUCUGUUCGACCAUUAAAAUUCUA